RNAcentral lists this small RNA (18 nucleotides) under Arabidopsis thaliana (thale cress). RNAcentral describes it as "ATSL095660". The record is from RNAcentral. Lineage: Eukaryota; Viridiplantae; Streptophyta; Magnoliopsida; Brassicales; Brassicaceae.
AAAGCGAAGAAGAACAAA